Esox lucius (northern pike) is the source of this 1276-nucleotide RNA transcript. It is a transcript of the gene named DNA-directed RNA polymerase II subunit RPB1-like, with no coding region annotated. The transcript has 2 exons. Lineage: Eukaryota; Metazoa; Chordata; Actinopteri; Esociformes; Esocidae. The record is from RefSeq and is a predicted model, not a curated record.
AGGAUUACGUUGAUAACGAGGUGUCAAAUGACCCGGUUCAGUUUAGAGCGGAUUUGCGUCAUUUGGGUCAGAAGAACUAAAAUGGAUGCAGAGAAACGACAGGUAGUCUGUCAAAGAAAUUCUUAAUCUGCAUGGUUUGAGAGGCGAACACGGUAAUUUAACUUUAUAAAUAUCUGAUAAUGUGUAUAAUGUUGUUUUAUAUUGCUUUACGUCCACGAUGUGAUGUGCUAUUCAUGAUGUUGAUGGGAUUCGUUGUAUUUCUGUUACAACAUUUGCCUGCAUAACAUUAGAUAUUGACACGAGAGACGCAAAAUGCAUAUUUUGAAUAUAUGUUUUUUAUUUCUUGUAGUUUUCACGGUGUCUACAGUGUCUAUUCUAAAGAGAGAGAGUGAAUAAACAACAAAAGACAUCUGUAUGAAGCGUGGCCUUUAUUCUGUCAGACCAGUGCAGUUAAACCUGUAUUGGUAAGUCAGAAUCACACCCUGAGUGUCAGAGAUGGUCUCCACUGGCGGUUCCGUCUUCGUGACCGGGUUAUCAAUGGCUCCUGGUUACACUCAGAGCAGAGCGUCUGUCUUUCUGUGAUCCUGCUGGCAGGGCUGCCCAGUACGGAGAUGGAUCACUGCCCUUCUGUUGGAACAGGCACACAGCAAGCUACACCCAGACAUCAGCAGGCUACACCCAGACAUCAGCUGGCUACACCCAGACAUCGGCUGGCUACACCCAGACAUCGGCUGGCUACACCCAGACAUCGGCUGGCUACACCCAGACAUCGGCAGACUACACCCAGACAUCAGCAGGCUACACCCAGACAUCAGCAGGCUACACCCAGACAUCAGCAGGCUACACCCAGACAUCAGCAGGCUAAUGAGACAAAUCCAGAAGGGACAAUGGGAUUGAGUGAGAGAGAGAUGAAGGGAGAUGGAUGAGUAAGAGAGAAUCAGGAAAGGAUGAUAAAAUUUGAGUUAGUGUGACUGGCAAUAAAUGGACCCUGUGUAACUGGAUGUCUGGAGGAGGAGGAUGAGGAGAGGAUUAGAGAAGGAAGCUUUUACAUCCCUGUAUGGGAUGUGAGGAACGGAUUAACAGACUGAGAUCAAGACCGAAAAGGACUGGUUUAAAAUACAUACUGGUCCAAAGCACUACAUUCUGUGAAGUUAACACACACAAUUGUUUUACAAUGUAUUUGACAUGGAUCAUUCUGUAUAUAUAUAUCAAUAUGUUGAUAUAGAGUUAUUGGGCUUAUGUAGCUUCCCCAAACAAAUAAUGGAAAAUGAUUUGA